This is a long non-coding RNA of Temnothorax curvispinosus, 782 nucleotides long. RefSeq lists it as uncharacterized. The record is from RefSeq and is a predicted model, not a curated record. NCBI's taxonomy places the organism in Eukaryota, Metazoa, Arthropoda, Insecta, Hymenoptera, Formicidae. The transcript has 4 exons.
UUAACGCACAAGCAUAAAAUAUAAAGCUGUACUAGGCCGCCGCAUAUAUACAUGGCGAUCAUAAUUCCUUCUACGGGAGCCAUCGAUAAUAUCUAUAUAGGGGAUGGACGUGACUCCAAGCUAUACUUUGUAAUUAUCCUGGGACUGUAAAGCAGCGAUUAUCUUAUGAUACUCUAGGAGGCACUUCAUUGUGGAGAUACUCCAUCGCAAAGGAAGAAGCAGAAGAAACUAAAUAUCUGAUGUUGUUUAGUGCGAGCUUCUUCGGACAACAGCUGAGGAUUGAUCUGCGAUAAGUUACAUAGACAUUGAACGUGCCAAUAUCUAUUUUAUAAAGUGAAACAUAUGCUCGUUUACGAAUGAAACAACAAUUAAAGAUCACUGGAACCGAGAGACGUCGCAGAACUUGAUAGUAUACGGUGCUCGUCUGAUACUAUCGUUGAUCGGCGUAGUGUGAUCUACAAUGUAUAAGAAGGACAACGAACGAACUACGAAUAUUAAGUGGUUGGAGGCCACUUUAUUCACGAAAUACGGAAGGUUUUGCAGCAAUAUCCCAAGAGUCGUCGAAAAGAAUAUUUCGAUGACUAAUCUAAGGACUAUUAACAUCGAAUGUACGAAAUGUUUUUAAGCUCGCCGAUUUACGGAUCAAUAAGUAUAAAGUAAGUCGUUGAUAAGAAUAUCAAUUAAUAGAAAAAGAAUGAUUAAUAGAUGACAAGGAUUAAUAUUGUUGGCAAUAUUACUGUAACAAGUAUGUUUCUUUUGUCGUGCACAGAUUUUUCCGAAAA